CUGGUUCGUUCUCUGUGUUGUUGUUGCUGCCAAAGGGAAAAGCGUGUUGCGCAUGCGCAGCACUAACUGUCACGCAGAGAGCUUUCACCGGAUUGGUCGGCUGUCUGCGCUUGCUGCAGUAACGAAAACAGGAGACCUAGCUGGAGGUGCCAGAGCUGGAAAUGCUGAGCCUAAAAGAACAUUCAUGGGUGUAGUGAAAGAGGACGUGCGAAGGAGUGGUAUGAAGGCAGAUGAUGCUACAGUGACCCCUAAAGGAAGCAGCUGAAAUGAUCAUCAUCAUCAUCAUCAUUAUUAUUUGUGUAUGUUAUUGGUUGCAUGUAAAUGCCUUUUAUCUGUCUGAUUUUGUUUAUUGACCUACACCACAACUCCAAAUGUCUUUUAGUCACUCAGUCUUUUGGUGUCACCAGCUCCAAAAGUGCUCCCCCAGCAGACCAACAAACUACACUGCAUUCUCAGCAACUGAGUGAUAGACAAGCGCCAUCAUUUUGCUGCACAUGAUUUUUGGAUACAGCCUCUGCAUUUGGCCUUCCAGUUCAACCUGUAGAUGUGAAUGCCUAGGUAGUUGUACUGCUCCAUCAAGUCAACAUCUUGUCCCAGGACAGAAAUGGGGAAUAUAGCCAUCCUCUUUCAGAAGCAGAUGAUUACUCCCAGACCACUCCACAAAAUCACCCACCAGUGCGCUGUACUAGUAAAAACAACUGAACUGUUAUGUUAUUUGCCACAAACACUUUGGGGUUAAUUCCUCAUGUGAAUUUGACAAAUUACCAGUGUGAUAUAUAUAAACAUAAAUGAUCAUAUGUCAGCCUGGAAAGCAUUUUUAUCUCUUUGUCCCCUUACCCUGCACCCUGAGACAAUGCACCACAUUUUGAUAGGCUCAACUUUACAAGUCAUCACAUGUGAGAAAACCAUGUGGCUGAAAAAGAGAAGUGCAUGUAUCCCUGGUGACACCUCAAAAAGGAACAGGAAAUGCACAAGUGUAUAAAGAGUUUAAUAUAAGAGCAUAAAAUGAAAUUUCAACUUCAGUUUUGAUAUUGAGAUAUAUGAUCAGACAGUCAAACCUUCAGCCUUUAUAGCUUGUGCACAUUUAUCUAUUUAGUUACAAAAUGAAUACCAAACAUUCCCCCUACAGAUUUUGGUGGGAUGUGAUAACCACAGUUGCAAUUUGGGAAAUGAACAAGGCGAAACUUAUUUACUUGCUUAUUUAAUAAAAUCUCUCCAUAGACAUCAUAACUUCAGUGUAAUACAAUAUAGAAUUAUAUGCAUAGAUUUUAACUCAAAGUGCAGCUAACAGGAAUAAAAACUAGAUCAAAGUACUAUUUGAUGUAACCACUCUGUGUUUUUGAGCAUGCAAUGUAGGUACACAUGCACACAUAUAGUUUGCACACAUCUGUAAUUAGUUUGUUAUGUUGUGAGAAUUUUGGGGCCAAUCAGAAAUUUGCUUGUAAGCGUCUGAGUCAUUCUGACCCAUGAGUAGUGAAACAGUAUCACAGCAUCGUUAAAACUCCUGUUUUAAUACAUCAGCAUCACAUGUUUCAUGUUUUUUCAUGUGAAACCUUUGUCUGCUAAAUGUAACAAAUAAAUGUGGUGAGGAAAAAAAAGCAUCACAUGAGUGGAAUGAUGAUGUAAUAUCGAUAAAUCAUCCAUCCAUCCAUCCUUCCAUUCAUCCAUCCAUCUUCUUUUGCUUAUCCAGGGCUGGGUUGCGGCAGCAGCCCAAGCAAAGAAGCCCAGAUCUCCCCAGCCACCUCCUCCAGCUUAUCCGGGGGAACACCAAGGCGUUCCCAGGCCAGCCGAGAGA
Molecule: long non-coding RNA, 1795 nt
Organism: Oreochromis niloticus (Nile tilapia)
Lineage: Eukaryota; Metazoa; Chordata; Actinopteri; Cichliformes; Cichlidae
Exons: 2
Source: RefSeq, a predicted model, not a curated record